This 457-nucleotide ribosomal RNA is filed under the name uncultured bacterium. RNAcentral's name for it is "partial 16S ribosomal RNA". It matches the Rfam family "Bacterial small subunit ribosomal RNA", at positions 28 to 523 of the family's 1533-position model. The record is from RNAcentral.
GAUGAACGCUGGCGGCGUGCUUAACACAUGCAAGUCGAGCGAGUGAAUUCUUCGGAACGAUCUAGCGGCGGACGGGUGAGUAACACGUGGGAACCUUCCUAGGGGUACGGAACAACUCAGGGAAACUUGAGCUAAUACCGUAUACGUCCGUGAGGAGUAAGAUUUAUCGCCCUUAGACGGGCCCGCGUCGGAUUAGCUAGUUGGUGGGGUAACGGCUCACCAAGGCGACGAUGCGUAGCCGACCUGAGAGGGUGACCGGCCACAUUGGGACUGAGACACGGCCCAGACUCCUACGGGAGGCAGCAGUGGGGAAUAUUGCACAAUGGGGGAAACCCUGAUGCAGCAACGCCGCGUGAGUGAUGACGGCCUUCGGGUUGUAAAGCUCUGUCUUUGGGGACGAUAAUGACGGUACCCAAGGAGGAAGUCACGGCUAACUACGUGCCAGCCGCCGCCGUAA